GGACUGUAUACCCUCAUGGCAGAGGCUGAUGGUUGCUACCUCUACAUUCAUUCUUCUCUUUUUUCCUCAGUAAUGAAACUGGUUUUUAUCAGGGCACAUGACUACCUAGAAUAAAGACCACCUUUCCCACAUUCUCCUUUGGAGUCUGGUGUCUCCAUGAUUACAUUCUGGUCAAUGAGGUAUUAGAGUGCUGUGUGGCAACUUCUGAGAAAUCUUCUUAAAAGCAAAUGAUGUAAGAGUUUGGCCUCCUCCUUUGUCACUUCUUUGUCCACUCCAGAUGUGUGGCUAGGGCUCCAGCUACCAUCUUGGAAACUGGAGGACCACAACAGAGGGAUGUUGCAGCAGAGAGCUGAGAGGAGCCGGUGCUGUGGAGCUAUUCCUGCCCUGAGCCAUCUAAACUGGGGGUUCUUUUAAGUGGGAGAGAAAUGAGCUUUAUCUUGCUUAAGCCACUAUUUAAUUUAAAUUUAGGCCAGGCGUGGUGGCUCACACCUGUAAUCCCAGCACUUUGGGAGGCUGAGGCAAGGUGGAUCACCUGAGGUCAGAAGUUUAAAGACCAGCCUGGCCAACAUGGUGAAACCCCAUCUCUGCUAAAAAUACAAAAAUUAGCCAGGCAUGGUGGCAGGCACCUGUAAUCCCAGCUACUUGAGAGGCUGAGGCAGGAGAAUCACUUGAACCUAGGAGGCAGAGGUUGCAGUGAGUUGAGAUCAUGCCACUGCACUCCAGCCUGGGCAACAGAACGAGACUUUGCCAAAAAAAAGAAAAAAAAAUUAACGAAACCAGGGUAUUUUGAGGGUGAGAGGAAAUGGAGAAACUCUUUUACAUCUUACCUAAUUCUCAAUUCUUAUCAACUAAAUCAGCCCCACCAACAAAGUUAUUUUCCUCACUGUAUACAUCCAAUCCAAUGGAUAACACCUUAUUGAGUCAACAUUCCUGAUAUUCCCAAUAUGAAAACAAAGAUAAUACAAUAGUUUCACUGAUCUCUGCUUCUAGUUUAUCUUCUUUACUGCAGCAAGAAGAAUUUCUGUUUCACCCCAGCUUAUAUGUCACUCUCCUGCAUUAAACCUUCAAUGGUUUCCUGUUGCCUGGAUCAGUGGCUCUCAGAUUUAUACAGGAACUUAAUGUGGUGAUAGUUGCAUAAGUGUGAUUAUACUAAAAAUCAUUGAAUUGUACGUUUAAAAUAGGUGAAUUGUAUUAUAUGUGUAAAGUUACUUUUUUAAAAUGUAUAGGGGGAGCUGGACAUGAUGGCUCAUAUCUGUAAUCCCAGCACUUUGGGAGGCUGAGGCUGGAGGAUUGCUUAAGCUCAGGAGUUCACGACCAGCUUGGGCAACAUAGUGAGACUUCAUCUCUACAAAAAAAUAAAAAAAUUAGCUGGGUGCAGCGGUGUGUGCCUAUAGUUCCAGCUACUCCAGAAGCUGAGGUGGGAGGAUGGCUUGAGUCUGGGAGGUCAAGACUGCAGUGAGUUGAGAUUGCGUCACUGCACUCCAGCCUGGGUGGCGGCGGGACACCAUGUCUCAACAACAACAAAAAAGAUGUACAGGUGCCAGGUGUGGUGGCUCACACGUGUAAUCUCAGUGCUUUGCGAAGCUGAGACCAGGAGUUUGAGACCCAGCCUGGGCAACAUAGCCUGGGUAACAAAAAGACCUUGUCUCUAAAAAAAAAAAAAAAAAAGAAAAAAAAAGCUGAGUCUGAUGGUGUAUACCUAUAGUCCCAGCUACUAGAGAGGCUGAGGUGUGAGGAUCUCUUGAGCCCACGACUUUGAAGUUACGGUGAGCUAUGAUGGCAACACGGCAGUCUAGCCUGGGUUACCAAGUGAGACCCUGCCUCAAAAAACCCAAAAAUGUAUAGAGGAAUCAAGGCAUCUGGAAUUCACAGCAUGCUAUGUGUAACACACUGAAAUGUUGAACUAUAAGCAAUUUUACUAUCAUAAAAUAAGACUACAGUAUAUAUACUUAAUAUUUACAGUACAUUUAUUACACUAAAAUUCACUACUUUAUGACUACAACAAAAAGUGUUGAGCAUCCAUCACUGAAGCGAGAGUGGCCAAAGUGAAAUUCAGUGCUUUCGUGACUUCUAACUGAAGCAAGAACUGCAAAAGGCAUUUCAAUGCACUUUCCUACAUUUGCAAGAAGAUUAUGUCUUCCCCUCUUUCCAAAGAGCUAAGAC
This 2163-nucleotide long non-coding RNA is filed under the name Papio anubis (olive baboon). Its description in RNAcentral is "lncRNA (ENSPANG00000048870.1)". The record is from RNAcentral. Lineage: Eukaryota; Metazoa; Chordata; Mammalia; Primates; Cercopithecidae.